CCAGAAAACAUCAGCUCCUACCUGUUGAAGCUGAAGUCCUCUAACCACAGACCUGAAGCAGAGGAGUAACGAAGACAAGCAAGUCAGAAUGACAGCAGCAUCAAAGAUCAUCAUAAUAAUUCAGAAAAUUCCAACUUUCUUUCCAGAAAGACAACAAAGAAAAGAAGACCUGACAUUCUUCCAACCAGCAUUUAACUAAGAUUGAAAGCCCUUCUUUUGAAAAUCACCAUGGCCAUCAAUCAAAUAAAAUUAUCAGCUUGUGA
This is a long non-coding RNA of Marmota monax (woodchuck), 263 nucleotides long. RefSeq lists it as uncharacterized. The transcript is spliced from 2 exons. The record is from RefSeq and is a predicted model, not a curated record. Lineage: Eukaryota; Metazoa; Chordata; Mammalia; Rodentia; Sciuridae.